This 548-nucleotide long non-coding RNA is filed under the name Capsicum annuum. RNAcentral's name for it is "long non-coding RNA (CANN_LNC010385)". The record is from RNAcentral. Lineage: Eukaryota; Viridiplantae; Streptophyta; Magnoliopsida; Solanales; Solanaceae.
UCAUAUCCAUCAUUUAUCAUCCAAAUUAUUGAAGAAUAAGAAACCCUAGCCUAAGUUCAACUCCAAUUAUCUUGUGAUUCAACCGUAGAAAAUCCAAAUUGAUUCCGUAGUUGUGUUCACCGUCUCGAGGGCUUUGAGAAGCACCCCUUAUUUGUGCCAACAGGACUUCGAAAUCAAAAGGGCCAUUUUAUGGUAAGGAUGUAAAUUAUGUUGGUGUUAUUUAUAUGGAUAUGUAUAUAUAUGCAUGUGAGCAUAAGAAGUGUGUUAUUUGAUUGUUGUUGAAAGAUGAUUGGAAAUGAUAUUGGAUUAUUCUUGUGCAUGGUUGGAUUAUGUUGAAUUGUGAAGGGAUUUGGUGUGAUGAUGUGGUAUUGAAAUGAUGAUUAUAUAUAUAUAUAUAUAUAUAUACACAUAAACCUAUUGUUCAAGUUGGUUUUUGGAAUGCUUUGCAAAUAUUGGUUGUAUGAAAUUAUGGAAGAGAAUUGUGGUGUUGGGUUGCUAAUACUAGAUGCCAAACAUUUCAUUGUAGAUAAGUGAUUUGUAAAGGCGGG